Molecule: unclassified non-coding RNA, 520 nt
Filed under: uncultured Glomus
Lineage: Eukaryota; Fungi; Glomeromycota; Glomeromycetes; Glomerales; Glomeraceae
Also listed under: 1 other name
Description: SSU rRNA
Rfam family: Eukaryotic small subunit ribosomal RNA
Source: RNAcentral
AGCAGCCGCGGUAAUUCCAGCUCCAAUAGCGUAUAUUAAAGUUGUUGCAGUUAAAAAGCUCGUAGUUGAACUUCGGGGUUUACUCAUUGGUCAGGCUUAAUUGUCUGUACUGGUGAGAUGAAUCUCUACCUUCUGAGGAACUUUCAUGCCAUUUAUUUGGUGUGAUUGGAAAUCAGGACUGUUACUUUGAAAAAAUUAGAGUGUUUAAAGCAGGCUAACGUCUGAAUACAUUAGCAUGGAAUAAUGAAAUAGGACGGAUUGAUUCUAUUUCGUUGGUUUCUAGGGUCACCGUAAUGAUUAAUAGGGAUAGUUGGGGGCAUUAGUAUUCAAUUGUCAGAGGUGAAAUUCUUGGAUUUAUUGAAGACUAACUACUGCGAAAGCAUUUGCCAAGGAUGUUUUCAUUAAUCAAGAACGAAAGUUAGGGGAUCGAAGACGAUCAGAUACCGUCGUAGUUUUAACCAUAAACUAUGCCGACUAGGGAUCGGACGAAGUUAAUUAAUAAUGACGCGUUCGGCACCUU